This 468-nucleotide non-coding RNA is filed under the name Pan troglodytes (chimpanzee). Lineage: Eukaryota; Metazoa; Chordata; Mammalia; Primates; Hominidae. The record is from RNAcentral.
GACAUGCUGGGCACCCCCAGCCAGUCGAGGCCCCGGGUGGCCGCCCGACGAGUCGGUGCUGGACUGGCGCGAGUGCGAGCCCGAAUCAGGCUCCUUAAAGAAAGACUCCGGCAGGAUCUUCUUCCGCCACGAGCUAGGCUUCGGAUUCAUGACAGAGUUGAAGAGGGCUUCGAGGUCUGUGUCUAGGUCCUGCGUGACGUGGAUCACUUGCUGCCCAGGCGGCGGGAGCGGAGGGGGCGCCGAGGCCGGAUUCAUCUUCUGCAAAAAGAAGGAUGGCAAAGGAAAGGUCGCACGUUUCCAGGACAGGCAGCCCCCCGAAAGAAGUUCAGCCCGAGCCAACUCCACCACGUCUCGACUCCGGAAGCCCGAGGAGCCUGGAGCCCUGGAGUUGUGCCGGAUGAGCGCGCGAGCUCCAGCGGGCACUACCUGGGCGGGCAGCGAAGCUGAGCCUGAGCGCGCGGCGGCCGC